RNAcentral lists this ribosomal RNA (301 nucleotides) under Chrysotila carterae. RNAcentral describes it as "partial Bacterial large subunit ribosomal RNA". It matches the Rfam family "Bacterial large subunit ribosomal RNA", at positions 318 to 629 of the family's 2925-position model. The record is from RNAcentral. Lineage: Eukaryota; Haptophyta; Isochrysidales; Isochrysidaceae.
GUAUUGAUGUUAGCGGAACGCUCUGGAAAGUGCGGCCAUAGUGGGUGAUAGCCCUGUACGCGAAAAUCUCUUGUCAAUGAAAUCGAGUAGGACGGAGCACGAGAAACUUUGUCUGAAUAUGGGGGGACCAUCCUCCAAGGCUAAAUACUCCUGACUGACCGAUAGUGAACCAGUACCGUGAGGGAAAGGUGAAAAGCACCCCGACGAGGGGAGUGAAACAGACCCUGAAACCGGAUGCCUACAAACAGUUGGAGGGCUUCGUGCCUGACAGCGUACCUUUUGUAUAAUGGGUCAGCGACUU